UACUCGAGUGGCGAACGGGUGAGUAACACGUGGGUGAUCUGCCCUGCACUCCGGGAUAAGCCUGGGAAACUGGGUCUAAUACCGGAUAGGACCAUGCUUUAGUGUGUGUGGUGGAAAGUUUUUUCGGUGUAGGAUGAGCCCGCGGCCUAUCAGCUUGUUGGUGGGGUAAUGGCCUACCAAGGCGGCGACGGGUAGCCGGACUGAGAGGUUGGUCGGCCACAUUGGGACUGAGAUACGGCCCAG
This 243-nucleotide ribosomal RNA is filed under the name uncultured Actinomycetales bacterium. RNAcentral describes it as "partial 16S ribosomal RNA". It matches the Rfam family "Bacterial small subunit ribosomal RNA", at positions 88 to 334 of the family's 1533-position model. The record is from RNAcentral. Lineage: Bacteria; Bacillati; Actinomycetota; Actinomycetes; Actinomycetales.